This 24-nucleotide unclassified non-coding RNA is filed under the name Mus musculus (house mouse). RNAcentral describes it as "oocyte_clustered_small_RNA9113". The record is from RNAcentral. Lineage: Eukaryota; Metazoa; Chordata; Mammalia; Rodentia; Muridae.
UGGUUUCUCCGGUGUAGAUUUGUU